Molecule: ribosomal RNA, 460 nt
Filed under: uncultured bacterium
Lineage: Bacteria
Description: partial 16S ribosomal RNA
Rfam family: Bacterial small subunit ribosomal RNA
Source: RNAcentral
CCUACGGGAGGCAGCAGUGAGGAAUAUUGGUCAAUGGACGAGAGUCUGAACCAGCCAAGUAGCGUGAAGGAUGACUGCCCUAUGGGUUGUAAACUUCUUUUAUAAAGGAAUAAAACGAGGCACGUGUGCCUUUUUGCAUGUACUUUAUGGAUAAGGAUCGGCUAACUCCGUGCCAGCAGCCGCGGUAAUACGGAGGAUCCGAGCGUUAUCCGGAUUUAGUGGGUUGAAAGGGAGCGUAGAUGGGUUGUUAAGUCAGUUGUGAAAGUUUGCGGCUCAACCGUAAAAUUGCAAUUGAUACUGGCAGUCUUGAGUACAGUUGAGGUAGGCGGAAUUCGUGGUGUAGCGGUGAAAUGCUUAGAUAUCACGAAGAACCCCGAUUGCGAAGGCAGCUUACUAAACUGUGACUGACAUUGAUGCUCGAAAGUGUGGGUAUCAAACAGGAUUAGAUACCCUUGUAGUC